Zingiber officinale is the source of this 1930-nucleotide long non-coding RNA. RefSeq lists it as uncharacterized. The record is from RefSeq and is a predicted model, not a curated record. Lineage: Eukaryota; Viridiplantae; Streptophyta; Magnoliopsida; Zingiberales; Zingiberaceae. The transcript is spliced from 3 exons.
AUGGGGCGCAUCGCAUCUUCUCCCGUUCGGCUCCUUCUCACGCGACUGUCGUUUCUUCUCCUUCACCGACGGCCGGCGGCCACCUCCACUCAACCACCGCCGCCGGCCGGACACCAUCUCCUUCCUUCUUCUAUUCACACCGCAGCCAAGGAAUUUUGCCUCUACCACUCAGUCUUCUCUCUGUUCGCGACGUCCUCUGUGCUCGCGGCAUUUCCUCCUCGCGCGGGCUAGGGUUCGCUACAGAUUCAACAGGCGACUUCAUUCCUCCGAGUUUUGAGUUCUAGCAGCAACAUCUUCUCCAGAUUUGGUCAGCACAGCAGACUUCAAUUCCAGCACUACUUCCUUCAUCCGGACCAGAUUUGGCCAGUCACAGCUCCACCUUUUCUUCCACAGCAGUCUUCAAGUUUGAUCAGCAAUUCUUCAACAAAUCUAGACAUCUUUUGUUUGUUGCAGUUUCUUCACUUGAUUCGAAUUUAUAGUGAUGUUUCUUUUAGUUGAUUGUUUGAUGCUUGUAUUGAAUUGUUCUCCCUUGUUUUAGAUUUGCACGUACUCAUGUCAUUUCGAUUUAUGCUCAUAAGGUGUUCGACAAAAUGUUUCUUCCAACAGUAGGUUUAAAUUCGUGCACUUUAUUUCACUUAAUGUUUGCUUGUCUUAUCUUUUGCAAUUGCUAUAAGUUUUGUUCUUCAUUUGAAUGCAAUUAGGCUAGGGUAGAUUAGCUUUCUUUAAUGCUCUAAGUUACAUUCCAUGCUUAGUUUCAUUACAUGCUUACUUUAUGUUGUCUUUAAUUUCCUUGCAAUCAUAGUUUAAGUUAGACUAGGUUUUCUUAUUUCCAUCGUCUUUCAUUUACUACGUAGGUUCAUUUAAUACUUUUCUCUUUCAUUCCUUAGUUUAGUUCCGUUAAUGGUCCUUUGCUUCUGACUGAUUAAUAUCUUUCUAGUUCCUUUGCUAUUUGAAUUUUGGUGUAUAUGCAAGAUCUAAUGAUUUUAAAUCACAUUUUCAGAUUUGACUUAAUGUGUAGUGUCCAUCUCCAUUCAGUCCCUUAGUAGAUCAAGAAUGUCAUGCUAUAGAAUGUACCUCUUUUUUAUUGGAGAAGAUGAUUCUGUUUCCAUUUUGAUAUCAGGUUCAUAAGCAGGGUGUUGCACUUGGAAGAUCUGUUGACUUGACAAAGUUUGAUGGUUAUGACCAAUUGAUCGAGGAGUUAGAUCAGCUAUUUGAAUUCAAAGGAGAAUUGAUGACUCCAAAUAAAAAUUGGAUGAUUGUAUUUACUGAUAAUGAGGAUGAUAUGAUGCUUGUUGGAGAUGACCCUUGGCAAGAAUUUUGUGCUAUGGUCCGUCAGAUUUUUAUAUACCCAAAAGAGGAGGUCUAGAAGAUGGAUUCAAGUACCUUGCACCCAAAAAAUGAAGAUUGUCCUAACAACUGGUGUUGUUUUAUGUUAUUUGCCUACUACCAAUGCAGUUUAACUGAUUUUACAUUGACUGAACAAGGUUGAUUUUAUUUAGGUCUAGUGAAAAUACUGAAGAAGUAUGACAAGAGAACAGGAGCACUUAUCAGGCAGCCCUUCAUCGAAAAGGUGCUGCAGUAGCCAUUCUUUACAACUGAUCUCCUAUAUAUACAAACUCGUGAAGGAGUGUGUGGCUAUGCUCGACCACCUCUUCCCCAGCAACAACCUGUCAAUUUCAGCAGAAUGCGACGGACAAAAUGGAGUGCCAAAGCCGGCACAAUUAGGUGGGAGGGUUCCGGAGUUAGAGGAGAUUAAAUAUAUGCAGAGCUUAUACAUGAAGAGCACCGUAGCAGCGCUACGGUCCUUGAAACAGAUUAGGAGCAAAAGUUCAACAGUCAAAACAGAUUAGAAAAUCUCGUGUUAUAUUAUUCUACCUUUGUUUUAAUAGUGUUAUCAUUUUGUUGGUUGCUUAUGAAAUUUUGUUGGUUG